RNAcentral lists this ribosomal RNA (172 nucleotides) under Triparma pacifica. RNAcentral's name for it is "partial Bacterial large subunit ribosomal RNA". It matches the Rfam family "Bacterial large subunit ribosomal RNA", at positions 1 to 186 of the family's 2925-position model. Lineage: Eukaryota; Bolidophyceae; Parmales; Triparmaceae. The record is from RNAcentral.
UGAGAAGGGCGUCUGGUGGAUGCCUUGGCGCAUGGAGGCGAUGAAGGACGUGCUAGGCUGCGAGAAGCCCGGAGGAGCCGCCAAGAGGCUUUGAUCCCGGGAUGUCCGAAUGGGGAAACCCCCCGCUUUUGCGGGAUCCGGCCCUGAAUCCAUAGGGGUCGGAGGCGAACCC